RNAcentral lists this ribosomal RNA (461 nucleotides) under uncultured bacterium. RNAcentral describes it as "bacterial SSU rRNA". It matches the Rfam family "Bacterial small subunit ribosomal RNA", at positions 28 to 484 of the family's 1533-position model. The record is from RNAcentral.
GAUUAACGCUAGCGGCAGGCCUAAUACAUGCAAGUCGAGGGGCAGCAGGGUGUAGCAAUACAUCGCUGGCGACCGGCGCACGGGUGCGUAACACGUAUGCAACCUACCUUUAACUGGGGAAUAGCCCUCCGAAAGGAGGAUUAACACCGCAUAACAUCACGAGACGGCAUCGCCUUGUGAUCAAACCUCCGGGGGUUAAAGAUGGGCAUGCGUCCGAUUAGCUAGUUGGCGGGGUAACGGCCACCAAGGCGACGAUCGGUAGGGGGUCUGAGAGGAUGAUCCCCCAACUGGUACUGAGACACGGACCAGACUCCUACGGGAGGCAGCAGUAAGGAAUAUUGGACAAUGGUCGCAAGACUGAUCCAGCCAUGCCGCGUGCAGGAUGAACGAUCUAUGAUCUGUAAACUGCUUUUGUUCGGGAAUAAACCCCUUCACGUGUGGAGGGCUGAAUGUACCGAAAG